RNAcentral lists this long non-coding RNA (678 nucleotides) under Pandoravirus dulcis. RNAcentral describes it as "putative ncRNA". The record is from RNAcentral.
CGCUGUACGAGCGCGUCCAACUCGGCCAGCAGCGGCGGGUACGGGCUCGACAGGGUCUCGUAGGACUUGGUCGGGCGUCGGCGCCGUCGCGCGCCUAAAAAGCGCUUGAGCCACCGGCGCAUGUUCGCCCUUUUUCUUUUUCACCUCCUUUUUCCUUUUUCUUUUUUUUCUCUACCUAUUUCUCUUUUUCUUCCCGUCGGCGAGCGCGGCAGUCCGGCCGCGCGCUGGCGCAAAAAAAUGGUGCGUGAGAGAGAGAGAGAGAGAGAGAUGUUUGCCCUCGAGUCGUCUCGCGAGAGCGGCGUACGCACGGCCACACGGAGGAAACCGCGCGACAAAAAAACAGACCCGACGAGCGCUCGCCGCCUUCCCUUUACUUCUUGGGGGGAGGCCGACGCCAGACACGAGAGGCCACCGCAACAGACGCGCCGGCGACGAGCCGCGCUCGCCGCCGCGCCGCCAAAAAAAAAGAGGAAGGAGAAGGGGAAAAAACAAAGAGAAAAACAUGCCAAAUGAAAAAAAAGUCGAUCCGUUGUCUGCGGGUCCGACGCGAGCGCGCUGCGCCGCCGCCCAGACAGAAAAAAACCCGACAAGAAACACUUUGUCUUUUCUCCUUUUUUUGAGCACUUUUUUUCUUUUCUUCUCUUCGUGUGCUCUUUCUGGUGGCCUCGAAAGGUCGCC